UCUGGCGGCAGUAGCGCGGUGGUCCCACCUGACCCCAUGCCGAACUCAGAAGUGAAACGCCGUAGCGCCGAUGGUAGUGU
This 80-nucleotide ribosomal RNA is filed under the name Escherichia coli. RNAcentral also lists the same sequence under 7 other names. Lineage: Bacteria; Pseudomonadati; Pseudomonadota; Gammaproteobacteria; Enterobacterales; Enterobacteriaceae. The record is from RNAcentral.